Molecule: ribosomal RNA, 191 nt
Filed under: Romboutsia lituseburensis DSM 797
Lineage: Bacteria; Bacillati; Bacillota; Clostridia; Peptostreptococcales; Peptostreptococcaceae
Description: 16S rRNA. Bacterial SSU
Rfam family: Bacterial small subunit ribosomal RNA
Source: RNAcentral
UUUUAUUUGAGAGUUUGAUCCUGGCUCAGGAUGAACGCUGGCGGCGUGCCUAACACAUGCAAGUCGAGCGAUCUUCUUCGGAAGAGAGCGGCGGACGGGUGAGUAACGCGUGGGUAACCUGCCCUGUACACACGGAUAACAUACCGAAAGGUAUGCUAAUACGGGAUAACAUACUUUUAUCGCAUGGUAGA